Molecule: ribosomal RNA, 97 nt
Filed under: uncultured bacterium
Lineage: Bacteria
Description: partial 16S ribosomal RNA
Rfam family: Bacterial small subunit ribosomal RNA
Source: RNAcentral
CACACCGCCCGUCACACCAUGGGAGCGGGUUCUGCCAGAAGUAGUUAGCCUAACCGCAAGGAGGGCGCCGACCACGGUGAGAUUCAUGACUGGGGUG